RNAcentral lists this ribosomal RNA (489 nucleotides) under Fusarium proliferatum. RNAcentral describes it as "eukaryotic LSU rRNA". The stretch from base 130 to 283 matches the Rfam family "5.8S ribosomal RNA". Lineage: Eukaryota; Fungi; Ascomycota; Sordariomycetes; Hypocreales; Nectriaceae. The record is from RNAcentral.
ACCCCUGUGAACAUACCAAUUGUUGCCUCGGCGGAUCAGCCCGCUCCCGGUAAAACGGGACGGCCCGCCAGAGGACCCCUAAACUCUGUUUCUAUAUGUAACUUCUGAGUAAAACCAUAAAUAAAUCAAAACUUUCAACAACGGAUCUCUUGGUUCUGGCAUCGAUGAAGAACGCAGCAAAAUGCGAUAAGUAAUGUGAAUUGCAGAAUUCAGUGAAUCAUCGAAUCUUUGAACGCACAUUGCGCCCGCCAGUAUUCUGGCGGGCAUGCCUGUUCGAGCGUCAUUUCAACCCUCAAGCCCCCGGGUUUGGUGUUGGGGAUCGGCGAGCCCUUGCGGCAAGCCGGCCCCGAAAUCUAGUGGCGGUCUCGCUGCAGCUUCCAUUGCGUAGUAGUAAAACCCUCGCAACUGGUACGCGGCGCGGCCAAGCCGUUAAACCCCCAACUUCUGAAUGUUGACCUCGGAUCAGGUAGGAAUACCCGCUGAACUUAA